CUUAGAAAAACAGGACUUGAACCUGCACCAAAGAACCCAAAAUUCUCUGUACUCCCACUAUACUAUUUCCU
RNAcentral lists this transfer RNA (71 nucleotides) under Brachyseps aff. frontoparietalis Betampona 2. Its description in RNAcentral is "tRNA-Glx". The record is from RNAcentral. Lineage: Eukaryota; Metazoa; Chordata; Lepidosauria; Squamata; Scincidae.